AGGACGAACGCUGGCGGCGUGCUUAACACAUGCAAGUCGAGCGGAAGGCCUUCGGGUACGUCGAGCGGCGAACGGGUGAGUAACACGUGAGUAACCUGCCCUUGGCUUUGGGAUAACCCUCGGAAACGGGGGCUAAUACCGGAUAUUCACUUCGGCCGGCAUCGGUUGUGGUGGAAAGUUUUUCGGCCAGGGAUGGGCUCGCGGCCUAUCAGCUUGUUGGUGGGGUAAUGGCCUACCAAGGCGACGACGGGUAGCC
RNAcentral lists this ribosomal RNA (256 nucleotides) under uncultured bacterium. Its description in RNAcentral is "partial small subunit ribosomal RNA". It matches the Rfam family "Bacterial small subunit ribosomal RNA", at positions 26 to 288 of the family's 1533-position model. The record is from RNAcentral.